RNAcentral lists this ribosomal RNA (253 nucleotides) under uncultured bacterium. RNAcentral describes it as "partial 16S ribosomal RNA". It matches the Rfam family "Bacterial small subunit ribosomal RNA", at positions 524 to 776 of the family's 1533-position model. The record is from RNAcentral.
UACAGAGGUCCCAAGCGUUGUUCGGAUUCAUUGGGCGUAAAGGGUGCGUAGGCGGCGCGGUAAGUCGGGUGUGAAAUCUCGGGGCUUAACUCCGAAACUGCAUUCGAUACUGCCGUGCUUGAGGACUGGAGAGGAGACUGGAAUUUACGGUGUAGCGGUGAAAUGCGUAGAUAUCGUAAGGAAGACCAGUGGCGAAGGCGGGUCUCUGGGCCGAUAUUGACGCUGAGGAGCGAAAGCGUGGGGAGCGAACAGG